Molecule: ribosomal RNA, 459 nt
Filed under: uncultured bacterium
Lineage: Bacteria
Description: partial 16S ribosomal RNA
Rfam family: Bacterial small subunit ribosomal RNA
Source: RNAcentral
CCUACGGGUGGCAGCAGUGAGGAAUAUUGGUCAAUGGUCGCGAGCCUGAACCAGCCAAGUCGCGUGAGGGAAGACGGUCCUAUGGAUUGUAAACCUCUUUUGUCGGGGAGCAAAAGCCGCCACGCGUGGCGUUCCGAGAGUACCCGAAGAAAAAGCAUCGGCUAACUCCGUGCCAGCAGCCGCGGUAAUACGGAGGAUGCGAGCGUUAUCCGGAUUUAUUGGGUUUAAAGGGUGCGCAGGCGGAAUGUUAAGUCAGCGGUAAAAUUGAGAGGCUCAACCCCUUCGAGCCGUUGAAACUGGUUGUCUUGAGUGGGUGAGAAGUAUGCGGAAUGCGCGGUGUAGCGGUGAAAUGCAUAGAUAUCGCGCAGAACUCCGAUUGCGAAGACAGCGUACCGGCGCCAGACUGACGCUGAGGCACGAAAGCGUGGGGAUCGAACAGGAUUAGAUACCCGUGUAGUC